RNAcentral lists this transfer RNA (83 nucleotides) under Phycisphaerales bacterium. Its description in RNAcentral is "tRNA-Leu". It matches the Rfam family "tRNA". Rfam says of the family: Transfer RNA (tRNA) molecules are approximately 80 nucleotides in length. Their secondary structure includes four short double-helical elements and three loops (D, anti-codon, and T loops). Further hydrogen bonds mediate the characteristic L-shaped molecular structure. tRNAs have two regions of fundamental functional importance: the anti-codon, which is responsible for specific mRNA codon recognition, and the 3' end, to which the tRNAs corresponding amino acid is attached (by aminoacyl-tRNA synthetases). tRNAs cope with the degeneracy of the genetic code in two manners: having more than one tRNA (with a specific anti-codon) for a particular amino acid; and 'wobble' base-pairing, i.e. permitting non-standard base-pairing at the 3rd anti-codon position. The record is from RNAcentral. Lineage: Bacteria; Pseudomonadati; Planctomycetota; Phycisphaerae; Phycisphaerales.
GCCGGAGUGGCGGAAUGGCAGACGCGGCGGAUUCAAAAUCCGCUGCCCGAAAGGGCGUGGGGGUUCGACUCCCCCCUCCGGCA